This 77-nucleotide transfer RNA is filed under the name Rickettsiales bacterium. Its description in RNAcentral is "tRNA-Ile". It matches the Rfam family "tRNA". From Rfam's summary of the family: Transfer RNA (tRNA) molecules are approximately 80 nucleotides in length. Lineage: Bacteria; Pseudomonadati; Pseudomonadota; Alphaproteobacteria; Rickettsiales. The record is from RNAcentral.
GGGUUUGUAGCUCAGAUGGUUAGAGCGUUGCUCUGAUAAAGCAAAGGUCGGCGGUUCAAUUCCGCCCAGACCCACCA